Mobula hypostoma (lesser devil ray) is the source of this 1831-nucleotide long non-coding RNA. RefSeq lists it as uncharacterized. Lineage: Eukaryota; Metazoa; Chordata; Chondrichthyes; Myliobatiformes; Myliobatidae. The transcript has 4 exons. The record is from RefSeq and is a predicted model, not a curated record.
ACACAGCGAGAAAUCCUUCCAAUAUAUUCACUGAAGAUUUAUGUUGCAAAAUGAGCCGGAACGUGGCAGAUGUCAGCAGUGCCACACUAAGCUGCUGUCAUUAUGAAUUAUCAGACUGUUCAGUGCCAAGGUGCAACAUCCAAACUUACUGGCUGAACUUUGCGGGCCAUGUCCUGUUUGUAUUCUGUGGAUGGACAGAGUGUUGUGGCAGAGUCUGAACGAGCUGCAAGGUCCCAAUGGUAAUGGUGAUGAACCUGCUUGCCAGACCAGUGUCAGCUUGGACCUGACACGAACGAUCGACUGGAAACUGACUGGAAUGGUGUUAUUCUUCAGUUAUACAGUAUUAGUAUUGAUCUGGCCAUCGGCAGAAAGACCAGCAUUAAUUGCCCAUCGCUAAUUGGUGUUGAUAAGCUAAUGACAAGCUGCCUUCUUGAAUUCAGAUUUUGGUUCAGAUGCACCUAUUAUGCUCUGUGUUGCCAUGUUCCAGGAUAUAAACCCUACAAAGGAUCAGCACAUAUUUUCAAGUCAGGGUGCCGUGCACAAUCCUGAUUUGAUGGAGGCAGACGUGAAAAGCACGGAGGAACAUCUGCUGAAACUUCUGAAAUGCCUGUUUCGCUACUGCUGCUACUGUGCGAUCCAGAAUCUCUGGAGGGGAAGGCCCCGAGUCCUCGGCUUUGCUUGUUGCUUGGCGGCUGAGGCGGGGUCGAAGCACUCGGCAGAGAUGGUGCUUGGUGUCGGAGGCUCGAAGUUUUCGGACGGACUCAGAGUCGGCUGUGGUCGGGUGCUUCCAGGGUGCUGCAGCGGCAAGUUUGCGGUGCUGGAGGUUCAUGGCAGGGAGAGUUUCUUCCUUCUACCGUCUGCGUGAGAUGAUGGGCUAUUGGGACUUUGAGACUUUUUUUUUUACCGUGCCCAUGGUCUGCUCUCAUCAAAUUGCGGUAUUGCUUUGCACUGUUGUAACUAUAUAUUAUAAUUAUGUGGUUUUUGUUAGUUUUAGUCUUGGUCUGUCCUGUGUUUCUGUGAUAUCAUACUGGAGGAACAUUGUAUCAUUUCUUAAUGCAUGCAUUUCUAAAUGACAAUAAACGAGGACUGAGUGUCCUCAUAAUCUAAUCUAAUCUAAUCACAUGUCCAGCAUUUGUAAGAUAGGCUUUUCAAUGAGUGACAUGCUGCAAAUGUGACCUGGUAAGGUAUCACUUCAGCUAUUUCUCCACAUCACUGAAUAAUUCAACAAAGAUGACACUGUGCAGAUCCAACAGUAUUCCCAGCAGAGAGUCCACUACACGUAAAAGGCUUCAUGUGUGCAUGAACUGUGAAGAUAUGGAGCAAUACAAUUAAAAAGUGUAUUAAAAUAAUGUGCAAAGAAAACAUUAAUUGUAACAUGACAAGUAAAUAAUAUUAAUUGCUAUGAUAAUCAACUUAUUCCAUUUACAAUGAGAGGUAAAUUUAGUAAACCUAUGAUCGAUUUCUUCUCAACCUUACUGCGGAUUACUGAGAACCUGAUUGGAAUACAUUAUGUUGUACGUACAUUUCAGAAAUGGACUAGUGCACACAUAAUAACAGCAGCAUAGAAUGAAGCAAUUCAUCCCACUGCAUCUCUGCUGGCUCCUUAGAAAAAUCCCAGCCAGAGUUCCAUUCCCCAGCACUCUAAGGCUUUCUUGCAAAUAUUUGUACACUUUACUCCUGACUCAACCUCUGUGCUGGCUUUUAUUAUGUAGGGCAUUGAAAUGCCUUCACUUUUUAGCAACUUAAACAUGCAAAGCCUCCACUGUAAUUUUUGGAAUAAUGGUCACCAUCUUCUGAGCUAACAUAAAAAAUUGGCUUUGGGUUACAAUCA